This 479-nucleotide unclassified non-coding RNA is filed under the name Hevea brasiliensis (rubber tree). Lineage: Eukaryota; Viridiplantae; Streptophyta; Magnoliopsida; Malpighiales; Euphorbiaceae. The record is from RNAcentral.
CUGGACGGCCAUCUCCAGAUAUAACAAAACCAGAUGGAAGAAUAGGUAUGAUUGAUGAAUCUUCACCGCUAAUUGCUAUGUUCAUGGUUGGAAUGUCAAUGGGAGCAUAUACUAUAAAUGAUCCCAAAGGGUCUGUGCAGCUCUCUUGAAGCAUCACCAUGUUGUUCUCACUGGGUAUAAAAGGCCGAAUGAUGGAUAUGCAGUUGCCUGGAUGAGCACCACCGGAGAUGUGUGCAAUCUCAUGCACUGGGUUUCCAUUGGAGAGUAUGUCCCACUGAACUCGGGUUUUCUCAUCUUUGAAGAAAUUAAAAACAUUCUGGGGAAGGAGAGGAAGCCAAAGAGAAGUAGCCGCACUGACAAUCAUGCCGCCGGGCUGGCCUGUUUCCAUGCUUUUCCGAACAGAAACUCUAACCCCACUAUUUUUCACUUCAGACAACUGAGGAAAAUCCAGCUUACCUGACAUACUUAACAUCGAACAG